GGGGGUGAACGGUUUCGACUGUGGAAGUUUGAUCGAGGGAAGCGUGCCAGUGCAGGUGGAUGACCACUGUUGAGCGUCGCCACAAACCAAUAAGCGCCAACUCUAAUCGCGCUGACUUCCAGCUCGCUGCCUAAGUAGCGACUGGAGUCUGUCGGACCAGGAGCGCCUCCGGCCUGGACCCCGGCAUCAGCUAGGAGGCUCAACCACCGUUUUUGGCAGCGGGAAACGGUGGGAAACUUACAGCUGCUGGGCCCGUCGCUCCGGCAAGUUCAGGUGACCGGAGGGGCCGAGUAGGGACAAGCUGAACUGCGCACGGAGAAGCCUUGAUAGGGCUCCAGAGGACCCGGGUUCGAUUCCCGGCACCUCCACUU
This 371-nucleotide transfer-messenger RNA is filed under the name Pseudonocardiaceae. Its description in RNAcentral is "QZFT01 sp003600225 Standard tmRNA". It matches the Rfam family "transfer-messenger RNA". From Rfam's summary of the family: Bacterial tmRNA, also known as 10Sa RNA or SsrA, is named for its dual tRNA and mRNA-like properties. Its role is to liberate the mRNA from a stalled ribosome. Lineage: Bacteria; Bacillati; Actinomycetota; Actinomycetes; Pseudonocardiales. The record is from RNAcentral. RNAcentral also lists the same sequence under 1 other name.